This 220-nucleotide long non-coding RNA is filed under the name Mytilus galloprovincialis (Mediterranean mussel). Lineage: Eukaryota; Metazoa; Mollusca; Bivalvia; Mytilida; Mytilidae. The record is from RNAcentral.
GUUGGAUCUUAUAACGAAAGAGUUAGAAUUUUUGAUAUUUUAGCUGUUUCCAUGGUAACGGCAGCCAUUUUGAAAAUUCCAAAGUCAAACUUGAAAUCAGCACAUGCCAGUUAACAUUCCUGUGGAGUUUCUUCCAGUUUGGAACACUUUGAUUUUUUUCGCAUUUAUGCUGUUUCCAUGGAAACGGCGGCCAUCUUUUACCAUUCCAUAGCAAGGUGCA